UUCAUCAUUCAUCGACCGAGCAUUGGAAACUCAACUUGCUUUACAUUUCCUCGAACUUUCGAGGACACAAAACUAUUAAAGGGUCACACAAUUCACAAACAGUCUGCUUUGAUGAUGGGUGGGUCAUUCAUUCAGCAGGGAGUGAUGAGAGGCUUUGAACAUGACAAUCACAAGCAUGCCCCCUUCAGCUUUACAGCUGCAAUUUGUUUGAUUGGUGAGAUUAGGUGAGAAUUCCUUCAGUGUGUGUUGUGCUAGCUACCGAGCUUGUUUGAUCGG
This 276-nucleotide long non-coding RNA is filed under the name Populus tremula. RNAcentral describes it as "long non-coding RNA (PTRE_LNC000891)". The record is from RNAcentral. Lineage: Eukaryota; Viridiplantae; Streptophyta; Magnoliopsida; Malpighiales; Salicaceae.